CUUCACUGCUCCCAUUGGCCAGGAAUCACAGCUACUGGGAGCCGUGGUGGUGGGGGUGGUGCCUGCAAG
Molecule: microRNA precursor, 69 nt
Filed under: Pelodiscus sinensis (Chinese soft-shelled turtle)
Lineage: Eukaryota; Metazoa; Chordata; Testudines; Trionychidae
Description: miRNA (ENSPSIG00000020129.1)
Source: RNAcentral